GGUGCAUGCUUUAGAACAGUGUGGAUACCUCGCAAACAAGAACAGCAGUCAGUCCAUGAAGAAAGGUGCUGAGCAUAUUGUACAAACGGCAGAGACUUGGCAGCAUCAAGAGCUCGGAGGUAAAGGAACGUAAAAUGUUUCCGGCCGCUUAAAGCACUGAUAUGAUUAAAUAUGACCUGCCCGCCCCCACCCUCCAAAUUAUCAUACAUUUGUGUGGUGUUCAAAAUGAACCAGGCUGCCCAUCCAGACCAAGGAAUGCAACUGUAAUUUGUUCAUCAGUUGUUUAUUAAUGGCAGUGAUGAUGAUGAUGAUGAUAAUAAUAUUAAUAAUAAUAAUAAUAAAAGGCACAGUGACACAAGGGAGCUGAGCUGAAGAAUAGGGAGAGGAAACUGAUCACAUUAACAGCUGCUUGGGAGACCUGUACACAUUCAGGAUUGUACUCACCCAUAUUACAUCAUUGCCCUACACAGGCAAAUGCAUUUUUGUUCUUGCUUGAUCCAGAGGACACUUAGGUCUAAGUUAACCUGCUGAAGCCAGUGGGAGGGAGCAGAGGAGAGUUUUCCCAAUCAAUAUUCAAUAGCCUGGGUUAGGGUACAGAUUUCUGUUUCAGUCUGCACCAUCUCUGCACGGGAACAUUUCUGUUUCAAUCUGCAACCCCUCUGCACUGGAACAUGUGGAUUGAAAAAAAUGAAAUGUGCUGCCAUUGCAUUGUAAUGCUUGAUUUCUAUCACUAGGUGUUGACAUAGCGUGCUGCGCACAGCUCAGGAAUGGCACCUCGUGACAAAACACAAGCAUCAACUCAUAGAACAAAGAUCCCCCUUGAAUACGGCUGUUCUCUCGCUCCUUUUGUGUAGUAGGAGCCUGGAAAACCUCUCCCAUGAGAUGAAACUGCACUUCCUUUUCUACAAACAAGCAGCAGAGCAAGGCAAGAGGGCUUUCACUGAAAAGGGACUAGAGCAAAGUGUGGUUGGUUGCUUUUAUGUUUUCCUUUUCUGAGGGGAGCAGAAUGGAGCAGACAAAAUCCAAGAGGUUCAAUGGUAAUGUUUCCAAUGUGUUUCAGUUAUCUUCUUCAGGGGAACUUAUUCAACUUUCACAAAUUAGCAUUGCCUUCUAGUGUUUGACUGGUGAUGGUGCCGUCUCUUUGAGCUUCGCCUGCCAUGGCAUGUUGCUGAGCAUGGGUGUUGAGCAAACUGAGCUAUUUGUGGGCUUAUUGCUGCCCCUCCUUAUGAUCUGGCCUGUUACAAUUCCUCCCACUUUUGGCAGGUUGCUUUUUCAACCUCUCGAGAGACCGACGAGCCACACGGGAUACAAACAAGGUAAAACGAAUGUUCACGUGCCUUUGCAUGUUGACUCACAAACAAUAAGCUGGCUGGUGCUCCGGACUUCCAGUUGCACUCACCCAUCUUAAAAGUGGGGUGGGGUGGGGAUCCUCUUAGCAGCUGAGUGUGUGUCUGGGUCACCUGAUGUGGGAAAACAAUGUGACGCUAUCACAGUGUGGUGGUUCCGUUCUAUUCUUUUGCGAGGCAAGAGGCUGUGUUUGUUAUCUGAUCGCAAAGGCAUGGCAUGACCAAGACUUUGUGUCUGUGGGGAUGCAUGGGAUUUUGGACUGAGCAAGAAUGUGGGGGAUUCUCGCCAUGCUGAAUUAGAAUAAAGCAGGGGUGGUGGUACCUGCGAUCCCUCUGGGUGUUCCUGGACUACAACUCCCACCAUGCUUGACCAUUGGCCAUGGUAGCUGGGAUUGAUGGGAGUUGGAGUCCAGAGGCAUCUGCAAGGCCCCCAGUUUUCCACCCCUGUUCUAAGGAUAUCAGCCACCUGGUUGUAUCAGUUUUGCCACUACACUUACAAAUCAAUGCAAUCCUUGUCUACUCAGAAGGAAGUUCCCAUGGUUCCUCUUACUUCCAGGUGUGCAUAGCAGGGGUGGGGAACCUCUGGCCUAGGGUCCACACGCAGCCCUCCAAGUCUCUCUCUGGCCUUUGAGACUCCCGCAGGAAUUGCCCCUCACACCAUGGGUCUUUCCCCCUGCCUUGAAUGCAUCCUUGAAGUCUCUGUUGCUGCCUCUUGUUUCUCUGCACGGAGGUCGCAGAACGGUGUGUGAGCAUGAGCAGAAAGUAGCUUACUACGCAAAGGGGAAAUUUGCAUAUGCUGCUCCACCCACCUUCGCCCCUGGCUCCACCCACCAUGUGGCCCCCAGAAAGUUGCCAAACAAGGAAUGCGGCCCUUGGACUAGAAAAUAUCUCCACAUCUCUGGUGCGUAAGACGGUAGCGUGAAUCAAACCAGGGGACCUAAACCCAACCAGGGUUUUGUCAUGGCUCAGAUGUUGUUACCAACGAGAGCAAUUGUCCCAUGCAAAAAGCACAUGCUUGGGCCUCCAAGGAAACUGCUGUCUUGCUCUGCCAAGCUCAUAGUCAAAUGUCUGUAAGCUUCAAGGAGUCUUAAGGUGGGCAAAAGGAAUUCACAGCCGACCUUUGGGGAAGGGCUGUAGCUCAGUGGCAGAGGUCCAAGGUUUAAUCCCCCAAAGGCCUCUCCAGGGAGGGCUAGCAGGAAACCCUGCUUGAAACUCUGGAGAGCAUCUGCCGGCCAGUGUAGACCAUACUGAGCUAGAUGGACCAUUGCUCCGAAUCAGAAUAAGGCAGCUUCUAGCAUCUCACAAAUGCUGAGAGCUUGCGACAGACGCCAGGCCCCUGCCUUGGCAGCUCCCCAUGUUGUCCUUUUUACACAAAGCAAAAGGAAACACCAAGCGAGAAAGCACAGUUUUUGGCACUGACAGCAAAACCCUUCAAUGAGAAGGCAACAGUUUAGGAUCCAGCUGUUUCCUACUGGAAGUAAUUCAGCUUUUUACUGCUGGGAGAUCCAUCUAUCUCCUUAGGGAGGAAGGGGAUGCCCUGGGUUUAUUCUGAUACUAGAAAAGCAGUGAUCUAUCAGAAUAGGCAAUCAUAUUCUGUAACUGGAGAACUCUGGAAGCCAUCAGAAAGAGUUCAUGAAUGUAGUCUGCCUGUUCCUUCCUCUGUCCUCUUUGGCUUUGGUCUGUUGUAAAGAUGGGCAACCUGUGGCCCACCAGAUGGUCUUGGACAGGGGGCAGCACACUUUUUCAGCAGGGGGCCGGUCCACUGUCCCUCAGACCUUGUGGGGGGCCGGACUAUAUUUUGAAGAAAAAAAUGAACGAAUUUCUAUGCCCCACAAAUAACCCAGAGAUGCAUUAUAAAUAAAAGCACACAUUCUACUCAUGUAAAAACACUAAGCAGGCCCUACAAAUAACCCAGAGAUGCAUUUUAAAUAAAAGGACACAUUCUACUCAAUUAAAAACAUGCUGAUUCCACAGGCCGUAUUUAGAAGGUGAUUGGGCCGGAUCCGGCCCCCCGGGCCUUAGUUUCCCUACUCAUGGUCUUGGACAUGAUGUUGGGCAAAUAUGUCAUUUUUUGUUUUUCUCCGUUUCUCAUGUUUUUUCAAUCUUAAAUUAGAACCCCCACGUUACCAUCUCAGCUCGUGAUUUUGUUGUUCUGGUGAAAAUUCACCAGAAUUUUAAUGCGAAUUUUUCCUAACAAGUCUGCAUUUUCUCCCAACAUACACUUUUUUUAAGCAAAGUAAUUCCCCCUAAUGCAAUGCAUUUUGUGUAUGUUACUUUUGCUAAUAUACGCGUUUAUAUGCACACUUUACUCCAGUGUAUGCGUCCACGUUACUUA
Molecule: long non-coding RNA, 3681 nt
Filed under: Podarcis lilfordi (Lilford's wall lizard)
Lineage: Eukaryota; Metazoa; Chordata; Lepidosauria; Squamata; Lacertidae
Source: RNAcentral